RNAcentral lists this ribosomal RNA (138 nucleotides) under uncultured bacterium. Its description in RNAcentral is "partial 16S ribosomal RNA". It matches the Rfam family "Bacterial small subunit ribosomal RNA", at positions 355 to 511 of the family's 1533-position model. The record is from RNAcentral.
UGGGGAAUAUUGGACAAUGGGCGAAAGCCUGAUCCAGCAAUGCCGCGUGUGUGAAGAAGGUCUUCGGAUUGUAAAGCACUUUCGACGGGGAUGAUGAUGACGGUACCCGUAGAAGAAGCCCGGCUAACUUCGUGCCAG